UCACUCACCCAAAAAUCCUGCUAAGGCAUAAAGUGGAAAGGGCAGGGAGCAUCAACAAGUCACUAGGGAGUUUCCUGGCUGGUACUUCACUGCGAUGGCAGCUCACAAACUGGCCUUUGCUAUCGUCCUAGCUGCUUCUCUCUGGAUGUUUUCCAGUACCUCCAAUGCUGGCGAGGAAAUCAAUGAGAGCAUCAUUUGUACCAAGGACCUGAUUGAAGUAGACAUCCCAAGUACAUUCUUCCUGUCCAAGAAUCCUCCAAUACUAGUAAGUGCCUACUUCUAUAACUUUAAAUAAGUAAACUCCUAUUAAAAUGAGAUAGAUGCCCAUCAGUAAACUCCUAUUAAAAUGAGAUAGAUGCCCACCAGUGUUAUGGAAACUUGUAAAACAAUGUGCAAGAAAAUGUAUUUAAGAGGGCAGAAACCAGAGCUACCUCAGUGUGGGCUUAGCAUUCACAGUAGGUACUGAAUGCUAGCCGACUUCAAGGGAACCAAAUGGGAGCUGAAACCUUGCACAGAGGCACUCCAUAUGGCAGCAUUUUGUUACAGAUCCCAUUUCUUUUGGUUUUGAAUAUUGGAUGAUUUUAGCCUCUUGUUUCAAGUCCAUAAAUUAGAACAAGGGUGAGUAUAAGAUAGAUCUGAAUCAAAUGGAUAAUGAUUUCUGACACAUGUCAGCAGCAGCUGCAAACUCCAUGAAAGCUUUUUCUCACACACCCUGUUUACUUUCUGAGUUCUCUGUGAAUUUUUAAUAGCAAUAGUUACAAUCUCCAGCUCCAACUUUUUAUGAAUGUAAAUACAGUGAGCCCAUGGUAUCUAAUGAAUUACUGUCUUUUUUAUUGAAGAUUCAAAAGUCCUUCUUAGGGAAAGAAGACAUUCCUAGCAUAUAAUAAUGCUGUACUUUCAGGCAGAAUCUGGAAAUGGCUAGUUAAUGUUUAUCAGUUACACUUCCUUGUACGAUUUUUGACUAGAACAAAUUCUUUGUGUCAUUAGAAAUGUGAAAAAUCAACGCACAUGCAUGCUCAUUCCAUGAUUCAAUGGAGGGUGUUCUAGUUGAAAUUACCAAUCAGAUUUAGUCCAGUGGUUGGAACACUUGGCAAUGCUGAUCCUGCAGUUCUGCAAACUGUAGUUUAUUAAAAUUAUUUUAAUUAUUUUGAAAUCAAGAAGAGUACAGUCUAUAUGUGUGUGUGUGUGUGUGUGUGUAUAUAUAUACCCCAAACUGUAUGGAUUAUGUUUGGAGAUCUUGGAUCUUUAAUUGUAGCGUAAUGCUUUUAAAGGUGAUUCUCAAGAUCUGUUUUCAUGUGAAAUAUCACAUAUAAUGGCUUGA
RNAcentral lists this long non-coding RNA (1321 nucleotides) under Anolis carolinensis (green anole). RNAcentral describes it as "lncRNA (ENSACAG00000034642.1)". The record is from RNAcentral. Lineage: Eukaryota; Metazoa; Chordata; Lepidosauria; Squamata; Anolidae.